This 909-nucleotide ribosomal RNA is filed under the name uncultured bacterium. Its description in RNAcentral is "bacterial SSU rRNA". It matches the Rfam family "Bacterial small subunit ribosomal RNA", at positions 8 to 916 of the family's 1533-position model. The record is from RNAcentral.
AGAGUUUGAUCCUGGCUCAGAACGAACGCUGGCGGCGUGCUUAACACAUGCAAGUCGAGUGCGCGUUCUUGUAGCAAUACAGGAAUGGCGCACGGCGCACGGGUGCGUAACACGUGGGUAAUCUGCCCUCUGAUGGGGAAUAACCCGCCGAAAGGCGGGCUAAUUCCGCAUAACAUUCCUUGGACUCCGGUUCGAGGAUUCAAAGGCGUAAGUCGUCGGAGGUGGAACCCGCGCCCGAUUAGCUAGUUGGUGAGGUAACGGCUCACCAAGGCAAUGAUCGGUAGCUGGUCUGAGAGGAUGACCAGCCACACUGGAACUGAGACACGGUCCAGACUCCUACGGGAGGCAGCAGUGGGGAAUCUUGCACAAUGGGCGAAAGCCUGAUGCAGCGACGCCGCGUGGGGGAUGAAGCUUCUCGGAGUGUAAACCCCUUUCGACCCGGACGAAUGCCCCGCAAGGGGAGUGACGGUACGGGUAUAAGAAGCCCCGGCUAACUACGUGCCAGCAGCCGCGGUAAGACGUGGGGGGCCAGCGUUGUUCGGAAUUACUGGGUGUAAAGGGUUCGUAGGCGGUGUGGCGAGUUGGGAGUGAAAUCUCUGGGCUCAACUCAGAGGCUGCUUCCAAAACUGCUGUGCUGGAGUGUGGGAGAGGCGCGUGGAAUUGCAGGUGUAGCGGUGAAAUGCGUAGAUAUCUGCAGGAACACCCGUGGCGAAAGCGGCGCGCUGGACCACUACUGACGCUGAGGAACGAAAGCUAGGGGAGCAAACAGGAUUAGAUACCCUGGUAGUCCUAGCCCUAAACGAUCAGGACUUGGGGUGCCACCCGUUCGGGUGUCGUCCCGGAGCUAACGCGUUAAGUCCUGCACCUGGGGAGUACGGUCGCAAGACUGAAACUCAAAGGAAUUGACGG